CGUUGAAACACGGGUUCUCAUACUAACAUCGAAGUUAAUCAACGUUGAGCCUGGUCAGGACUUAGAUGGGUGACCGCUUUUGAAUACCAUGUGCUGUAUG
This is a non-coding RNA of Acanthosepion pharaonis, 100 nucleotides long. The record is from the annotation of a GenBank genome assembly. Lineage: Eukaryota; Metazoa; Mollusca; Cephalopoda; Sepiida; Sepiidae.